This is a non-coding RNA of Labeo rohita (rohu), 763 nucleotides long. Lineage: Eukaryota; Metazoa; Chordata; Actinopteri; Cypriniformes; Cyprinidae. The record is from the annotation of a RefSeq genome assembly.
AUGAGACACAGCGCUGAUUUCUACCUGCUUCAGUCCAACUCCACUUAUGUGAACAGCUGGUCUGCUCUCCAGAGUCUGGUCAUCAUCACUGCCGGAUACCUGCAGCUCUACUUCCUCAAGAGACUCUUCAAAACCAAACCAGCAGAGGGAGACAAACCCCGCUUCUGGACUCCACUGAUGGUCAAAAUUGUAUCACUGUGGUACACAUUCGGUGGAGGAACUAAACUGGUGGUGAAAUCUGGUCCCACAGUGAAGCCCUCAGUGUCUCUGCUGCCGCCCUCUUCUCUGCAGAUCUCUGGAGACUCAGCCGCACUGCUCUGCCUGCUCAGCUCUUACUCUCCACAGGGGGCGCUGGUGAGCUGGACACUGGACGGCUCAGAGGUCACCGAGGGGGUUCAGACCAGCGCAGAGAGCGAGCGGGACGGGCGCUACAGCCGCAGUAGUGUCCUGACCCUCAGCAAAGCACGCUGGGAAAAAGGAGAGCUGUACGUCUGCAGAGUAACACAUGAUGGAGCUCCUCAAGAGGUCUCGUUCCAGAAGAGUCAGUCGCAGUGCUGAUGUUUCUCCAGUGAGCGCUGCUCUCUCCUGAAGAUGAGGCGUAUCUGAGUGUCCUGUGUCAGGCAGGAUUCACAUGAGUCUAGUGCUGCAGCUGUAGUCAUUUACAACUCAAUACUGAAAGAGAGCUCUAGUGUCAAAGCACUGGCUGAUCUUUCAAUCUGCUGUGUUUGCUGUAACAUUCAAUAAAGCUUCUCAACAAGCUCCA